CACGUAGGGUGCGAGCGUUGUCCGGAAUUAUUGGGCGUAAAGAGCUCGUAGGCGGUCUGUCGCGUCGGCUGUGAAAACCCGGGGCUCAACCCCGGGCCUGCAGUCGAUACGGGCAGACUAGAGUUCGGCAGGGGAGACUGGAAUUCCUGGUGUAGCGGUGAUAUGCGUAGAUAUCGGGAGGAACACCAGAGGCGAAGGCGGGUCUCUGGGCCGAUACUGACGCUGAGGAGCGAAAGCGUGGGGAGCGAACAGG
RNAcentral lists this ribosomal RNA (253 nucleotides) under uncultured bacterium. RNAcentral's name for it is "partial 16S ribosomal RNA". It matches the Rfam family "Bacterial small subunit ribosomal RNA", at positions 524 to 776 of the family's 1533-position model. The record is from RNAcentral.